RNAcentral lists this ribosomal RNA (484 nucleotides) under uncultured bacterium. RNAcentral's name for it is "partial 16S ribosomal RNA". It matches the Rfam family "Bacterial small subunit ribosomal RNA", at positions 30 to 507 of the family's 1533-position model. The record is from RNAcentral.
AUUGAACGCUGGCGGCAGGCCUAGCACAUGCAAGUCGAGCGGAUGAAGGGAGCUUGCUCCUGGAUUCAGCGGCGGACGGGUGAGUAAUGCCUAGGAAUCUGCCUGGUAGUGGGGGAUAACGUCCGGAAACGGGCGCUAAUACCGCAUACGUCCUGAGGGAGAAAGUGGGGGAUCUUCGGACCUCACGCUAUCAGAUGAGCCUAGGUCGGAUUAGCUAGUUGGUGGGGUAAAGGCCUACCAAGGCGACGAUCCGUAACUGGUCUGAGAGGAUGAUCAGUCACACUGGAACUGAGACACGGUCCAGACUCCUACGGGAGGCAGCAGUGGGGAAUAUUGGACAAUGGGCGAAAGCCUGAUCCAGCCAUGCCGCGUGUGUGAAGAAGGUCUUCGGAUUGUAAAGCACUUUAAGUUGUGAGGAAGGGCAGUAAGUUAAUACCUUGCUGUUUUGACGUUACCAACAGAAUAAGCACCGGCUAACUUCGUG